Molecule: long non-coding RNA, 395 nt
Organism: Oreochromis niloticus (Nile tilapia)
Lineage: Eukaryota; Metazoa; Chordata; Actinopteri; Cichliformes; Cichlidae
Exons: 3
Source: RefSeq, a predicted model, not a curated record
GGGUUUUUGUUGGUUCAUUCCUCCCGAGCUUCUGGCACAACACAGCAGUAAAUGUUGGCCUAUUGUUACGGAUUAAUUUACCGAAACGAUCGGAUUGUGUGACAGUUACAGCCAUAGUGGAGAGAAGCGUUUGACUUACGUCCACUGUGCAGUAUAGCGCAUCCGGUCUUGGGGGUUCGAUUGCUGCCGCACCCUCUCAGUGAUCAAUCGCCUGAUUUUAAGUGAAGAGUUGAAACGCCUGCCUAGCUGCUGUUUCAGGGCUCCUCUGCAGUGGAGCUGCUGUCUUGUUUUGCUCCUGCUGUUUUGCCUCGCCUCGCCUCGUUGGGGCUUUGGGGUUUUACUUUGAGCUCCUUCUGGACUAUUCUUUGCACUCCAGCUCAGUGGCGUGUCCAGCA